UACUUUCAAUCAGGUAUAGGUUUCUUUAACCGGAAUUAAUAAGGAACCGUGUGUAAAUCACGGGCUGACGUGCAACUGUAAGUAACAUUCCCAGUUUUUACCAGCAAUCCAUUGUCUGCAAUAGCAGGCGAGAAGGAAGUAAAAACGUUACAAGCCAGGAGACUUGCCUAUAUCUCAAUGACACA
RNAcentral lists this non-coding RNA (185 nucleotides) under Sphingobacteriales bacterium. Lineage: Bacteria; Pseudomonadati; Bacteroidota; Sphingobacteriia; Sphingobacteriales. The record is from RNAcentral.